AACAUCGCGCACCUGCGGGAACCUGCGGAAGGAUCAUUGCAAGUGACCCCGGUUUACCACCGGGAUGUUCAUAACCCUUUGUUGUCCGACUCUGUUGCCUCCGGGGCGACCCUGCCUUCGGGCGGGGGCUCCGGGUGGACACUUCAAACUCUUGCGUAACUUUGCAGUCUGAGUAAACUUAAUUAAUAAAUUAAAACUUUUAACAACGGAUCU
This 213-nucleotide unclassified non-coding RNA is filed under the name soil metagenome. RNAcentral describes it as "partial contains 5.8S ribosomal RNA, internal transcribed spacer 2, and large subunit ribosomal RNA". The record is from RNAcentral.